Molecule: ribosomal RNA, 399 nt
Filed under: uncultured soil bacterium
Lineage: Bacteria
Description: bacterial SSU rRNA
Rfam family: Bacterial small subunit ribosomal RNA
Source: RNAcentral
AGAUUGAACGCUGGCGGCAUGCCUUACACAUGCAAGUCGAACGGCAGCGCGGGGCAACCUGGCGGCGAGUGGCGAACGGGUGAGUAAUAUAUCGGAACGUGCCCUGGAGUGGGGGAUAACGCAGCGAAAGUUGCGCUAAUACCGCAUACGAUCUAAGGAUGAAAGUGGGGGAUUCGCAAGAACCUCAUGCUCCUGGAGCGGCCGAUAUCUGAUUAGCUAGUUGGUGGGUAAGCCUACCAAGGCAUCGAUCAGUAGCUGGUCUGAGAGGACGACCAGCCACACUGGAACUGAGACACGUCAGACUCCUACGGGAGCAGCAGUGGGAAUUUGGACAAGUGGGACGAAAGCCUAGAUCCGAGCAAUGCCGCGUGAGUGAAGACGCGUUCGGUUAGUAAAGUC